GAUGAAGAACGCAGCGAAAUGCGAUAAGUAGUGUGAAUUGCAGAAUUCAGUGAAUCAUCGAAUCUUUGAACGCACAUUGCGCCCCUUGGUAUUCCAUGGGGCAUGCCUGUUCGAGCGUCAUUUGUACCCUCAAGCUUUGCUUGGUGUUGGGCGUCUUGUCUUGUAUUAGACUCGCCUUAAAGUCAUUGGCAGCCAGUGUUUUUGGUAGUAAGCGCAGCACAUUUUGCGUCUUAGUCCUUGAAUCGUGGCAUCCAUGAAGCCUUUUUUCACUUUUGACCUCGGAUCAGGUAGGGAUACCCGCUGAACUUAAGCAUAUCAAUAGCGGAGGA
RNAcentral lists this unclassified non-coding RNA (329 nucleotides) under soil metagenome. RNAcentral describes it as "partial contains 5.8S ribosomal RNA, internal transcribed spacer 2, and large subunit ribosomal RNA". The stretch from base 1 to 120 matches the Rfam family "5.8S ribosomal RNA", at positions 35 to 154 of the family's 154-position model. The record is from RNAcentral.